GGGCGCGUAGCUCAGCCGGAUAGAGCACCGGCCUUCUAAGCCGGGGGUCGUGGGUUCGAGUCCCGCCGCGCCUGCCA
RNAcentral lists this transfer RNA (77 nucleotides) under Acidobacteriota bacterium. RNAcentral describes it as "tRNA-Arg". It matches the Rfam family "tRNA". Rfam says of the family: Transfer RNA (tRNA) molecules are approximately 80 nucleotides in length. The record is from RNAcentral. Lineage: Bacteria; Pseudomonadati; Acidobacteriota. RNAcentral also lists the same sequence under 1 other name.